Molecule: long non-coding RNA, 536 nt
Organism: Oncorhynchus tshawytscha (Chinook salmon)
Lineage: Eukaryota; Metazoa; Chordata; Actinopteri; Salmoniformes; Salmonidae
Source: Ensembl
UACCGGGAUAUAGGUUAAUGAAUAUGGCCUAGGGAAGAUGAGUGGGCUGUCCUGGGGGGCUGUACCGGGAUAUAGGUUAAUGAAUAUAGACUAGGGGAGAUGAGUGGGCUGUCCUGGGGGGUUGUACCGGGAUAUAGGUUAUUGAAUAUAGACUAGUGGAGAUGAGGGGGCUGUCCUGGGGGGCUGUACCGGGAUAUAGUUUAAUGAAUAUAGACUAGUGUAUAUAGGUUAAUGAAUAUAGACUAGUGGAGAUGAGGGGGCUGUCCUGGGGUGCUGUACCGGGAUAUAGGUUAAUGAAUAUGGCCUAGGGAAGAUGAGUGGGCUGUCCUGGGGGCUGUACCGGGAUAUAGGUUAAUGAAUAUAGACUUGGGGAGAUGUGGGGGCUGUCCUGGGGGGCUGUACCGGGAUAUAGUUUAAUGAAUAUAGACUAGUGGAUAUAGGUUAAUGAAUAUAGACUAGGGGAGAUGAGUGGGCUGUCCUGGGGGGCUGUACCGGGAUAUAGGUUAAUGAAUAUAGACUAGUGGAGAUGAGGGGGC